This is a non-coding RNA of Vicia faba (fava bean), 219 nucleotides long. Lineage: Eukaryota; Viridiplantae; Streptophyta; Magnoliopsida; Fabales; Fabaceae. The record is from the annotation of a GenBank genome assembly.
AUGGAAGAAAACCCUAAGACGCUCCAAAAUGGCGAUUGUACCAUGAUGAAGUGCGAUUUCAAGUCACAAGCAAAUGCGAAAGAUCCAGCAAGUCUUAGACUACGUUAUGGCGUUGAGAAAUCAAGGAAAAAAUAUCGAGUAACCUGUCUUGACGGUGGCUAUUAUGAUGAAGGAGGAUGUUGUUGCUAUUAUGAAGAUGAUUAUGGAGUUGCGAGAUAG